UUACUAUGCCUCUGAAAUCCCCUCAUCUCCCCCCAUAACCAUUGGAAACCAUGGCUAAUACCACAUAAUAACUUCAGCUCAAAGAGGGGGACCUUCGGGCCUCUCGCGUCAGGAUAUGCCCAGGUGGGAUUAGCUAGUUGGUGAGGUAAUGGCUCACCAAGGCGACGAUCCCUAGCUGGUCUGAGAGGAUGAUCAGCCACACUGGAACUGAGACACGGUCCAGACUCCUACGGGAGGCAGCAGUGGGGAAUAUUGCACAAUGGGCGCAAGCCUGAUGCAGCCAUGCCGCGUGUAUGAAGAAGGCCUUCGGGUUGUAAAGUACUUUCAGCAGUGAGGAAGGCAGAUACGUUAAUAGCGUGCUUGUUUGACGUUAGCUGCAGAAGAAGCACCGGCUAACUCCGUGCCAGCAGCCGCGGUAAUACGGAGGGUGCGAGCGUUAAUCGGAAUUACUGGGCGUAAAGCGCAUGCAGGUGGUUUGUUAAGUCAGAUGUGAAAGCCCGGGGCUCAACCUCGGAAUUGCAUUUGAAACUGGCAGACUAGAGUACUGUGAGGGGGGUAGAAUUUCAGGUGUAGCGGUGAAAUGC
RNAcentral lists this ribosomal RNA (584 nucleotides) under Vibrio brasiliensis. RNAcentral's name for it is "bacterial SSU rRNA". It matches the Rfam family "Bacterial small subunit ribosomal RNA", at positions 108 to 689 of the family's 1533-position model. Lineage: Bacteria; Pseudomonadati; Pseudomonadota; Gammaproteobacteria; Vibrionales; Vibrionaceae. The record is from RNAcentral.